AACGCCCGGUCACAUUCCGAACCCGGAAGCUAAGACUCUUUGCGCCGAUGGUACUGCAGGGGGGACCCUGUGGGAGAGUAGGACACCGCCGGAC
Molecule: ribosomal RNA, 94 nt
Filed under: Cryobacterium psychrophilum
Lineage: Bacteria; Bacillati; Actinomycetota; Actinomycetes; Micrococcales; Microbacteriaceae
Source: RNAcentral